UUAUACGGCGAAACUGCGAAUGGCUCAUUAAAUCAGUUAUCGUUUAUUUGAUAGUACCUUACUACUUGGAUAACCGUGGUAAUUCUAGAGCUAAUACAUGCUUAAAACCCCGACUCACGAAGGGGUGUAUUUAUUAGAUUAAAAACCAAUGCCCUUCGGGGCUCUUUGGUGAUUCAUAAUAACUUUUCGAAUCGCAUGGCCUUGCGCCGGCGAUGGUUCAUUCAAAUUUCUGCCCUAUCAACUUUCGAUGGCAGGGUCUUGGCCUGCCAUGGUGACAACGGGUAACGGAGGGUUAGGGCUCGACCCCGGAGAAGGAGCCUGAGAAACGGCUACUACAUCCAAGGAAGGCAGCAGGCGCGCAAAUUACCCAAUCCCGACUCGGGGAGGUAGUGACAAUAAAUACUGAUACAGGGCUCUUUUGGGUCUUGUAAUUGGAAUGAGUACAAUUUAAAUCCCUUAACGAGGAACAAUUGGAGGGCAAGUCUGGUGCCAGCAGCCGCGGUAAUUCCAGCUCCAAUAGCGUAUAUUAAAGUUGUUGCAGUUAAAAAGCUCGUAGUUGAACCUUGGGCCUGGCUGGCCGGUCCGCCUCACCGCGUGCACUGGUUCGGCCGGGCCUUUCCCUCUGGGGAACCGCAUGCCCUUCACUGGGUGUGUCGGGGAACCAGGACUUUUACUGUGAAAAAAUUAGAGUGUUCAAAGCAGGCCUAUGCUCGAAUACAUUAGCAUGGAAUAAUAGAAUAGGACGUGUGGUUCUAUUUUGUUGGUUUCUAGGACCGCCGUAAUGAUUAAUAGGGACAGUCGGGGGCAUCAGUAUUCAAUUGUCAGAGGUGAAAUUCUUGGAUUUAUUGAAGACUAACUACUGCGAAAGCAUUUGCCAAGGAUGUUUUCAUUAAUCAGGAACGAAAGUUAGGGGAUCGAAGACGAUCAGAUACCGUCGUAGUCUUAACCAUAAACUAUGCCGACUAGGGAUCGGGCGAUGUUAUUAUUUGACUCGCUCGGCACCUUACGAGAAAUCAAAGUCUUU
This 1024-nucleotide ribosomal RNA is filed under the name Arthrinium sp. Its description in RNAcentral is "SSU rRNA". It matches the Rfam family "Eukaryotic small subunit ribosomal RNA", at positions 74 to 1108 of the family's 1831-position model. The record is from RNAcentral. Lineage: Eukaryota; Fungi; Ascomycota; Sordariomycetes; Amphisphaeriales; Apiosporaceae.